GACGAACGCUGGCGGCGUGCUUAACACAUGCAAGUCGAACGGAAAGGCCCUGCUUUUGUGGGGUGCUCGAGUGGCGAACGGGUGAGUAACACGUGAGUAACCUGCCCUAGACUUUGGGAUAACUUCAGGAAACUGGGGCUAAUACCGGAUAGGAGCUCCUGCUGCAUGGUGGGGGUUGGAAAGUUUCGGCGGUUGGGGAUGGACUCGCGGCUUAUGAGCUUGUUGGUGGGGUAGUGGCUUACCAAGGCUUUGACGGGUAGCCGGCCUGAGAGGGUGACCGGCCACAUUGGGCCUGAGGUACGCCCCAGACUCCUACGGGAGGCAGCAGGGGGAAAUAUUGCACAAUGGGCGGAAGCCUGAUGCAGCAACGCCGCGUGCGGAAUGACGGCCUUCGGGUUGUAAACCGCUUUCGCCUGUGACGAAGCGUGAGUGACGGUAAUGGGUAAAGAAGCACCGGCUAACUACGUG
This 468-nucleotide ribosomal RNA is filed under the name uncultured bacterium. Its description in RNAcentral is "partial 16S ribosomal RNA". It matches the Rfam family "Bacterial small subunit ribosomal RNA", at positions 28 to 507 of the family's 1533-position model. The record is from RNAcentral.